CCAAUAGCGUAUAUUAAAGUUGUUGCAGUUAAAAAGCUCGUAGUUGAAUUUCGGGAUUAAUAUGCUGGUCGUGCCAUUGGUACGUACUAGUAUUAUUGAUUUCUCCCUCCUGAUGAAUCAUGAUGUCAUUAAUUUGAUGUCAUGGGGAAUCAGGACUGUUACUUUGAAAAAAUUAGAGUGUUUAAAUCAGGCUCGCGCUUGAAUACAUUAGCAUGGAAUAAUGAAAUAGGACGUUUGAUUCUAUUUUGUUGGUUUCUAGGAUUGACGUAAUGAUUAAUAG
Molecule: ribosomal RNA, 280 nt
Filed under: uncultured Glomus
Lineage: Eukaryota; Fungi; Glomeromycota; Glomeromycetes; Glomerales; Glomeraceae
Description: partial 18S small subunit ribosomal RNA
Rfam family: Eukaryotic small subunit ribosomal RNA
Source: RNAcentral